Molecule: ribosomal RNA, 493 nt
Filed under: Lodderomyces parapsilosis
Lineage: Eukaryota; Fungi; Ascomycota; Pichiomycetes; Serinales; Debaryomycetaceae
Description: eukaryotic LSU rRNA
Rfam family: 5.8S ribosomal RNA (bases 152-305)
Source: RNAcentral
AAAAAAAGAAAAAGUGCUUACUGCAUUUUUUCUUACACAUGUGUUUUUCUUUUUUUGAAAACUUUGCUUUGGUAGGCCUUCUAUAUGGGGCCUGCCAGAGAUUAAACUCAACCAAAUUUUAUUUAAUGUCAACCGAUUAUUUAAUAGUCAAAACUUUCAACAACGGAUCUCUUGGUUCUCGCAUCGAUGAAGAACGCAGCGAAAUGCGAUAAGUAAUAUGAAUUGCAGAUAUUCGUGAAUCAUCGAAUCUUUGAACGCACAUUGCGCCCUUUGGUAUUCCAAAGGGCAUGCCUGUUUGAGCGUCAUUUCUCCCUCAAACCCUCGGGUUUGGUGUUGAGCGAUACGCUGGGUUUGCUUGAAAGAAAGGCGGAGUAUAAACUAAUGGAUAGGUUUUUUCCACUCAUUGGUACAAACUCCAAAACUUCUUCCAAAUUCGACCUCAAAUCAGGUAGGACUACCCGCUGAACUUAAGCAUAUCAAUAAGCGGAGGAAA